Molecule: long non-coding RNA, 1109 nt
Organism: Diabrotica virgifera virgifera (western corn rootworm)
Lineage: Eukaryota; Metazoa; Arthropoda; Insecta; Coleoptera; Chrysomelidae
Exons: 2
Source: RefSeq, a predicted model, not a curated record
AGUUUUGGUCAGAAACUCAUCAAGAGCGUAUAUAGUGUGCAGCACAAUUUCUCUUUUUUAAGCGGCGAAGAUCUAGAAUCAAUCAAAUAUGCGCCAUUUAAAUGAAAUAAAGACAUCAUAAAUACUAUUUAUCCAAAAAUCCAACGGUUAAAUCCACAGUAACCAAAGUUAUACGAAUUUAAGUUUCAAAAACACACCGUAAUGACGAUGGCGACCAAUUAUUAAUAACUGUCAGCUGCACACACAUUCUAGACUUCGCCGCAUCCCAUAGUCCAAAUCCUUGGAAUGUUGUAGAGCAUCCUAAGGACACCUGUAACUAGACUUUGUUUCCAACAGCCUUCCAGACGCUUUAGAUGUUGUAGUGCUAAGAGGAUUUCGUCCUAAAUAGACCUGUCUUCGUGGGAAUACCAGUGUGGAAGAUAAGAUAAGCUUUUAGUUUAUUUUUUUUUUUGUUGUUAAAGUAAAGUCAAGUUGCUUCUCAUUCCUAACUAUAAUAUAAUAACCUGUAAACUUUUUGUGUGCACAUAAUUAGGUACAUUUUUGACUAGUUUUUGUAAUUAAUAGGGGGGGUGCUAGUUGUUUUUUUUUUAAUAAAAUAGGAUUUCAAAUAAAUAUUAAAUACAUAAUGGAUAAUAAUAAUUGAGAAUAAAUCAAGUUUUUAAAAUUUAAUAGAGAAGAGAAAUAGAGGUAUUCAAGGGUUAUCAACAAGAGUAAUUUUCAAAGUUAAAAGGGUUUUUACAAACAAAAUUUAAUUAAAAGAGUUUCUGACCGACUCAUAUCUAGCGUUUUCUGUAUAUCUCCAGUAUCUAUGUUGUAAGUAUACUACGAGCACAUAGAUCUGGAACGUUAGCUACUUGGACACUUGUCAGUCCCAGGACCAUUAUUUAUAUACGAACAUUUGGCUAUUCUCCCGGACUUGAUUAUUGAAUCUUACUAAUAUUUGUUUACUUGGCACAAUAGUGGUGAUUUUUGCUAUUUGUUAAUGGUCUUUUGGCCGUAUCUAUUUCUACACCACUAUUGUUUAUAUUACUGCAGGCUGUUACAUAUAUAAGUAAAAGCUAUUUUGAUAUUCUUUAGUAUAUUUAUUGUAAAUAUAUUUGUCAAUAGUA